This 1158-nucleotide ribosomal RNA is filed under the name Bacillus amyloliquefaciens. RNAcentral describes it as "bacterial SSU rRNA". It matches the Rfam family "Bacterial small subunit ribosomal RNA", at positions 24 to 1177 of the family's 1533-position model. The record is from RNAcentral. Lineage: Bacteria; Bacillati; Bacillota; Bacilli; Caryophanales; Bacillaceae.
UUGGGACCCCCGGGGGUCUAUAAUGCAGUCGAGCGGCAGAUGGGAGCUUGCUCCCUGAUGUUAGCGGCGGACGGGUGAGUAACACGUGGGUAACCUGCCUGUAAGACUGGGAUAACUCCGGGAAACCGGGGCUAAUACCGGAUGGUUGUUUGAACCGCAUGGUUCAGACAUAAAAGGUGGCUUCGGCUACCACUUACAGAUGGACCCGCGGCGCAUUAGCUAGUUGGUGAGGUAACGGCUCACCAAGGCGACGAUGCGUAGCCGACCUGAGAGGGUGAUCGGCCACACUGGGACUGAGACACGGCCCAGACUCCUACGGGAGGCAGCAGUAGGGAAUCUUCCGCAAUGGACGAAAGUCUGACGGAGCAACGCCGCGUGAGUGAUGAAGGUUUUCGGAUCGUAAAGCUCUGUUGUUAGGGAAGAACAAGUGCCGUUCAAAUAGGGCGGCACCUUGACGGUACCUAACCAGAAAGCCACGGCUAACUACGUGCCAGCAGCCGCGGUAAUACGUAGGUGGCAAGCGUUGUCCGGAAUUAUUGGGCGUAAAGGGCUCGCAGGCGGUUUCUUAAGUCUGAUGUGAAAGCCCCCGGCUCAACCGGGGAGGGUCAUUGGAAACUGGGGAACUUGAGUGCAGAAGAGGAGAGUGGAAUUCCACGUGUAGCGGUGAAAUGCGUAGAGAUGUGGAGGAACACCAGUGGCGAAGGCGACUCUCUGGUCUGUAACUGACGCUGAGGAGCGAAAGCGUGGGGAGCGAACAGGAUUAGAUACCCUGGUAGUCCACGCCGUAAACGAUGAGUGCUAAGUGUUAGGGGGUUUCCGCCCCUUAGUGCUGCAGCUAACGCAUUAAGCACUCCGCCUGGGGAGUACGGUCGCAAGACUGAAACUCAAAGGAAUUGACGGGGGCCCGCACAAGCGGUGGAGCAUGUGGUUUAAUUCGAAGCAACGCGAAGAAACCUUACCAGGUCUUGACAUCCUCUGACAAUCCUAGAGAUAGGACGUCCCCCUUCGGGGGCAGAGUGAACAGGUGGUGCAUGGGUUGUCGUCAGCUCGUGUCGUGAGAUGUUGGGAUAAGUCCCGCACGAAGCGGCAACCAGGAUCGAAGCUGGCCAGCAUUCAGUUGGUACUUCUACGCUGACCUACCUGGGUGACCAAAAUCCU